This 254-nucleotide ribosomal RNA is filed under the name uncultured bacterium. RNAcentral's name for it is "partial 16S ribosomal RNA". It matches the Rfam family "Bacterial small subunit ribosomal RNA", at positions 524 to 777 of the family's 1533-position model. The record is from RNAcentral.
UACGAAGGGGGCUAGCGUUGUUCGGAAUCACUGGGCGUAAAGGGCGCGUAGGCGGCUUUUCAAGUCGGGGGUGAAAGCCUGUGGCUCAACCACAGAAUUGCCUUCGAUACUGUUAGGCUUGAGACCGGAAGAGGUGAGUGGAACUGCGAGUGUAGAGGUGAAAUUCGUAGAUAUUAGCUAGAACACCAGUGGCGAAGGCGGCCAACUGGUCCGGCACUGACGCUGAGGUGCGAAAGCUAGGGGAGCGAACGGGG